UACCUAAUCCUGUGUUCUCUCAUGGUCAACUCUAUGUCGCACUGUCUCGAGCCACCGCAAAGAGAAACAUAAAGAUCCUCAUUGAGAAGGAGAAGGAGAAGGAGAAUGCCAAGAAACAAAGCGGUAAACCUAAGAAGCGAAAAAGACCUGCCUUGUCCUUACAAACCUCGAUGAAGAACAUCGUCUAUAAGGAAGUCCUUACAGGCUGAAGUCCGCUCUUAAGAAGCUGGCGGGUUUUGAAUAAGAUAAAGGAUUUACUCUUUUGCUACAGACAAUUUGGUGCUCUUUCGUGUUCUUGUACAAAUAUUUAUCUUUCGAUGUUAGCAACUGAUUAUGUUUAUUCAACAAGUCAAAUAUUAAUAAUAUUGCCUCGGAUUUGUGACUUUGCAAGUUGCCAAUUAAUAAUAUUAAUAAUAUUGCCUCGUAAUCUUGUUCUUGUGCUCGAUGGGACAAGGAAAGCAACCACUUGUUCCUAUGCAGACUUCUUUGGUGUACAUGAUGAGUUUUGGAUAGAGGGUUCCGACAUUAUCAGAUCCUUAUUCUUCUGCUACAGGGCACCACCAAAUGGGUGCAAGCAUUAAUCAAUAUUCUUCUGCUACAGAUAUGGGUCAGAUUUCCUUGUUAUUGCCUGGAAAUAUUCUCGGUAUAAGAUCGUUUUGACCUGUGCCAAAUGGGUUAUAAAUUAAUUAACAAGGAGUUGGCCUUGCAGAUACAAACUACUAAUUUUUUGGCGAACUCUUCAUAUGAAGUGUCCAUAUAUAAUGGCAUGUACCAAGUAGGAAUCCUCUCUCGGAUAUAUUUCUCUUCCUUAUGUACCCCCUCUGUAAAGAAAUAUAAAAGCAUUUAGAUAACUACUUUAGUGGUCUAAACGCUCUUAUAUUUCUUUAUGGAGGGAGUACUUAUUUCUGACAGACAUACAUGCUCUAUUUUUUGAAGGAGAAGAUUGUACUUGCAGGAUAUAAAACCUAUUGAUUUUUGUCGAGGGACAGUCACGGUGUACUGAAGGUCAACGUUGCACUUAGGCCGGUUGGGUUCUGAAUAUGCAAGAAAAGGAGGAAAAAUUAGCAAGGAUUACAGAUCUUGGUUCAAGAAAAAUGCUGACAAUAUGUUUUGGCGCAUAAUUAGCUCUGAUAGGAAAAAUAUUGUAUCAGAAUUGCAGGAUUCUUCAAUCACCUCAUUAGCAUAUGCCAAAGCCUUGAGGUUACCACUACGAAUGAAGCAAAAUUGUGAAGAUGACUGGGAGAAUGAUUAGCUUAACUUGGCUAGCUUGUACGUGUUGGUUUCUCUCAGCCAAAUGCACCAGCUGACAAAUAAAUUGCAUUGCAAAAUAAGUCGGACAAGUACUCAGGCAUAUAAGGUAUGCACCAACAGGCUUCAGGUGAAAGGCCGGAGAGGAUCUGGUUUGUGUUGGCCGCACCGAAGUGUGGGAAAAGCUGCAUGUAAGGUGGUGGAGAAGGAUGUCAACGAUGUGGACAUUGUCCCUCCGGUGACGCUGGAAGCCGUCCAAGGGUGGAGGAGGUGCGCCUGUGUGACUCAGGUCAGCAGUGGGUGCUUGCUUCCUCAUGGUUUGUUUAUUCGUUUUUUAUGCAGUACAUAUGCAACUUUGUGCUUGUUCAAUACUAUUGUCUAAAAAUACAGAAAUUUUUGGUGUCCAGUAAUGUGUUGCAAUUCUGUUAUCUUUCA
Molecule: non-coding RNA, 1683 nt
Organism: Aegilops tauschii subsp. strangulata
Lineage: Eukaryota; Viridiplantae; Streptophyta; Magnoliopsida; Poales; Poaceae
Source: RefSeq, a predicted model, not a curated record